CAAGAAGGAAGAAGGCGAGUUUAAUCCCCUAUCUACAGCGUGCCUGGUUUAUCGCAGGUGCUCAAUGUAGUGACAGUUAAUGACUACACUUCCCAUAGGCCUUAGGGCAGCGUCGCCCGCAUUUCCCAGAAGGCUGUGCGACGCCCACGCCGGCCCUGAGCGUCCGUGGAAAAGAUGGUGACUUCAGGAGUAAGGACUAGGCUUUCACCUUAAAUCAAGGAGCUUGCUGAAAGAAGAUCCCAAGAGUGACUCUUCACCGGUAUCAGACCUGGGAGACACCUCAGAAUGUUCCAGAACCUUGGGCCAGCACUGGGGAGCCUCCACAUGGGAGGCCAAGCUGCUGCCCUGCCCAAGAGAAGAGUUGCAAGCAGGAGAGGGAAGAAGCAGCCACGACGGUGACAGAAUUGACCAGAACUCUAGACCAGACUUCAAGGAAGCUCUUCGAGGAAGAACCACAUCCUGUCCAUGCUGUUCUCCACGGCCCCUCUGAGCACCGCGGGACUUGGCCUGGAGACCGGAUGCCUGGACCAUCAAAACCAGAACGGCUUUCAGCUAAAUUCCUACCUGAGCUGUCUUGUACCACCACCUCUGAGACGCAAAUUGAGUCUACUGUUCCUCAGGAUGCCUGGGCCCGGUUUACUGUCCCGCAGGAAUCUUGCCCCUUGGUGCCAAAAGAACAUAGAUUUAUGUCUGGUGUCACCUUACCCUGAGCAUGUGUCGGGGAUGAGGGGGUGGUGUCCCUUGGACUUCUCCAGCGAGCAGUGCUCACUUCUCAGUGAGCAGAAAUGCAACUCAGUUUCAUGGCAGCUCCCUGCAGAGUUGGCAGAUGCCUUCAGGGCAAAAGCAGUUCUAAGAGUUCAUUUAUACACCAAACACAAAGGCAACUCAAAAGCAAACAGAAACAAGUAG
This 909-nucleotide long non-coding RNA is filed under the name Mustela putorius furo (domestic ferret). Its description in RNAcentral is "lncRNA (ENSMPUG00000027248.1)". Lineage: Eukaryota; Metazoa; Chordata; Mammalia; Carnivora; Mustelidae. The record is from RNAcentral.